RNAcentral lists this ribosomal RNA (427 nucleotides) under uncultured bacterium. RNAcentral's name for it is "partial 16S ribosomal RNA". It matches the Rfam family "Bacterial small subunit ribosomal RNA", at positions 355 to 774 of the family's 1533-position model. The record is from RNAcentral.
UGGGGAAUAUUGCACAAUGGGCGCAAGCCUGAUGCAGCCAUGCCGCGUGUAUGAAGAAGGCCUUCGGGUUGUAAAGUACUUUCAGCGAGGAGGAAGGCGUUGUGGUUAAUAACCGCAACGAUUGACGUUACUCACAGAAGAAGCACCGGCUAACUCCGUGCCAGCAGCCGCGGUAAUACGGAGGGUGCAAGCGUUAAUCGGAAUUACUGGGCGUAAAGCGCACGCAGGCGGUCUGUCAAGUCGGAUGUGAAAUCCCCGGGCUCAACCUGGGAACUGCAUCCGAAACUGGCAGGCUAGAGUCUUGUAGAGGGGGGUAGAAUUCCAGGUGUAGCGGUGAAAUGCGUAGAGAUCUGGAGGAAUACCGGUGGCGAAGGCGGCCCCCUGGACAAAGACUGACGCUCAGGUGCGAAAGCGUGGGGAGCAAACA